Molecule: long non-coding RNA, 661 nt
Filed under: Dromaius novaehollandiae (emu)
Lineage: Eukaryota; Metazoa; Chordata; Aves; Casuariiformes; Dromaiidae
Description: lncRNA (ENSDNVG00000012429.1)
Source: RNAcentral
CACCUCUGUGCCAGCGCCGCUGAUCGCGUGAGUGUUUGAUUGCGAUGAUAACCGCUCGUGGGAGCCGUAAUUGAAUUGCCGCUCAGCCAGACUCGGCGAAGCGGCAUCUCAAAGGGAGACCGGCGGCACUAAUAGUCACAAGAUCCUCCGCAGCCUCCGUACGGCCGCUUCAUCCGUGGAGGGCACCAGGAGAACAUCAGGCUCCUCCGCCGGAGCUGCUCCUCCGGAUCGCCCACCACCCACCCGGAAUUUCCCAUGGACUAGGCGAAACUUGCCUCCGAGUCCGGGAAGCUGCCCRUGGGUCACCCCGUGUGUCUCCUGGGCUUCUCCAGUCCCCAUCCAGCUCGUUACCCUUUGGAAGAAGCUCUUCCUYGUCCCCUCUCAUUGCUCUGCAGCACCUCCAAGCAGGCGUCCACCGGCCUCCGCUGCGGCAAAAAACUAUUGGAAUGGUUUUAAGCAAUUCUUCUUACUGGGGAGCUGAUAAGGUUGAUUUACAGCAACCCAAUGGAUGCCGAGAGGGCGAAAAGAUACCGGAGCAGCGCUUGGUUUCAGGCCUCGCCUUGGAGCGGAUGCUGAUGCCAGGAGGAGCAUCGGGCCACGAUGGCUGGAAAAAGAAAGGUUGGGAAUUGUUUCGCUGAAAUUGGGAUUGUAAGUGAGGGGG